Molecule: ribosomal RNA, 742 nt
Filed under: Janthinobacterium sp. BJB304
Lineage: Bacteria; Pseudomonadati; Pseudomonadota; Betaproteobacteria; Burkholderiales; Oxalobacteraceae
Description: bacterial LSU rRNA
Rfam family: Bacterial large subunit ribosomal RNA
Source: RNAcentral
GUUAUAGGGACAAGCGAAUAAGUGCACAUGGUGGAUGCCUUGGCGAUUACAGGCGAUGAAGGACGUAGUAGCUUGCGAUAAGCUGCGGGGAGUGAGCAAACACACUUUGAUCCGCAGAUUUCCGAAUGGGGCAACCCACCCUUUUAGGGUAUUGCAUACUGAAUACAUAGGUAUGCAAGGCGAACGCGGCGAACUGAAACAUCUAAGUAGCUGCAGGAAAAGAAAUCAACCGAGAUUCCCAAAGUAGCGGCGAGCGAAAUGGGAAGAGCCUGUACGUGAUAGUCGGACCGAUAACAGAAUCCUCUGGAAAUAGGAGCCAUAGCGGGUGAUAGCCCCGUAUGUGAAAUCGGACCGGUGGUACUAAGCGUACGACAAGUAGGGCGGGACACGUGACAUCCUGUCUGAAUAUGGGGGGACCAUCCUCCAAGGCUAAAUACUCGUAAUCGACCGAUAGUGAACCAGUACCGUGAGGGAAAGGCGAAAAGAACCCCGGAAGGGGAGUGAAAUAGAUCCUGAAACCGUGUGCAUACAAACAGUAGGAGCGGACUUGUUCCGUGACUGCGUACCUUUUGUAUAAUGGGUCAGCGACUUACAUUCAGUGGCAAGGUUAACCGAAUAGGGAAGCCGUAGAGAAAUCGAGUCCGAAUAGGGCGAUCAGUCGCUGGGUGUAGACCCGAAACCAAGUGAUCUACUCAUGGCCAGGAUGAAGGUGCGGUAACACGCCCUGGAGGUCCGAACCCAC